Molecule: long non-coding RNA, 424 nt
Filed under: Nicotiana benthamiana
Lineage: Eukaryota; Viridiplantae; Streptophyta; Magnoliopsida; Solanales; Solanaceae
Description: long non-coding RNA (NBEN_LNC009656)
Source: RNAcentral
CAUAUUUGGGAUGAGGGGAAGCCAAAAGUCAUUGAGUAUUGCUUUGAGAUUGUUUGGGUGUCGGCAACGCCAAAGACGGCAGAGCAGCCAUCGAUUGAACAAAGAUUAGGGACGGUGGGCUUAUGUUCGAGCCCAAAGAGUUACAGAAAUGGGAAGAGGAGGUCAAGGGGUGUAUGGGUGUAAAUCUGGGAGGGUUUGGAAGUAACACCGCCGUGGACGGCGGAGACGGCGACCAUACAAUUGCAUAUUCGAGGAGCCUGGUAGAGAUUUGAGAGAAGACAUGCUGGGAUUUGGAAAGAAGGGACGACGAGGAAGAUGUGGUGUAAAUUUGGGAUCGUUUGGAGCAUCGCCAUUGCUGGCGGCGGCUGGCGGAAGGAGGGCGGCAAACGGUGGUGAUACAUCGGUGUGAUUACGGAUGUAUGGG